This 783-nucleotide ribosomal RNA is filed under the name Tetrapisispora sp. RNAcentral's name for it is "SSU rRNA". It matches the Rfam family "Eukaryotic small subunit ribosomal RNA", at positions 147 to 943 of the family's 1831-position model. The record is from RNAcentral. Lineage: Eukaryota; Fungi; Ascomycota; Saccharomycetes; Saccharomycetales; Saccharomycetaceae.
CUGUGGUAAUUCUAGAGCUAAUACAUGCUUAAAAUCUCGACCUUUUGGAAGAGAUGUAUUUAUUAGAUAAAAAAUCAAUGUCUUCGGACUUCUUGAUGAUUCAUAAUAACUUUUCGAAUCGCAUGGCAUUUUGCUGGCGAUGGUUCAUUCAAAUUUCUGCCCUAUCAACUUUCGAUGGUAGGAUAGUGGCCUACCAUGGUUUCAACGGGUAACGGGGAAUAAGGGUUCGAUUCCGGAGAGGGAGCCUGAGAAACGGCUACCACAUCCAAGGAAGGCAGCAGGCGCGCAAAUUACCCAAUCCUAAUUCAGGGAGGUAGUGACAAUAAAUAACGAUACAGGGCCCUUUGGGUCUUGUAAUUGGAAUGAGUACAAUGUAAAUACCUUAACGAGGAACAAUUGGAGGGCAAGUCUGGUGCCAGCAGCCGCGGUAAUUCCAGCUCCAAUAGCGUAUAUUAAAGUUGUUGCAGUUAAAAAGCUCGUAGUUGAACUUUGGGCACGGAGGGCCGGUCCGAUUAUUUCGAGAACUGGAUACCUUUGUGCCUUUCCUUCUGGGGAACCUAUGCUCCUUGUGGGUGUAGGGGGUCCAGGAUUUUUACUUUGAAAAAAUUAGAGUGUUCAAAGCAGGCGUAUUGCUCGAAUAUAUUAGCAUGGAAUAAUAGAAUAGGACGUUUGGUUCUAUUUUGUUGGUUUCUAGGACCAUCGUAAUGAUUAAUAGGGACGGUCGGGGGCAUCAGUAUUCAAUUGUCAGAGGUGAAAUUCUUGGAUUUAUUGAAGACUAACUAC